AUUGAACGCUGGCGGAAUGCCUUACACAUGCAAGUCGAACGGUAGAGGGGGCAACCCCUCGAGAGUGGCGAACGGGUGAGUAAUAUAUCGGAACGUGCCCAGUCGUGGGGGAUAACGUAGCGAAAGUUACGCUAAUACCGCAUACGAUCUAAGGAUGAAAGCGGGGGUUCGCAAGACCUCGCGCGAUUGGAGCGGCCGAUAUCAGAUUAGGUAGUUGGUGGGGUAAAGGCUCACCAAGCCAACGAUCUGUAGCUGGUCUGAGAGGACGACCAGCCACACUGGAACUGAGACACGGUUCAGACUCCUACGGGAGGCAGCAGUGGGGAAUUUUGGACAAUGGACGCAAGUCUGAUCCAGCCAUUCCGCGUGCAGGAUGAAGGCCCUCGGGUUGUAAACUGCUUUUGUACGGAACGAAAAGGUCUCUCUUAAUACGGGGGGCUCAUGACGGUACCGUAAGAAUAAGCACCGGCUAACUACGUGCCAGCCGCCGCAGUAA
This 496-nucleotide ribosomal RNA is filed under the name uncultured bacterium. RNAcentral describes it as "partial 16S ribosomal RNA". It matches the Rfam family "Bacterial small subunit ribosomal RNA", at positions 30 to 523 of the family's 1533-position model. The record is from RNAcentral.